RNAcentral lists this transfer RNA (74 nucleotides) under Loxodonta africana (African savanna elephant). It matches the Rfam family "tRNA". From Rfam's summary of the family: Transfer RNA (tRNA) molecules are approximately 80 nucleotides in length. Lineage: Eukaryota; Metazoa; Chordata; Mammalia; Proboscidea; Elephantidae. The record is from Rfam by way of RNAcentral.
AUUCAUAUGGUGCAACUGGUUAGCACGUUCAACUGUUAACUGAAAGGUCGGUGGCUUGAGCUCACCCAGGGAUC